CUUAUCAUUCUUUUCUUCUUCGUUUGUUCGUCUGUUCUGUCUUGUAAAAUGCUAAUGAUAUACAUGAAAAAAUCUCUAUAUUCUGAUUGGCUAAGAGCAGUGCAAUUUUUCGAAAUACAGUGCCAAAAAAUGAAAUGCAGUGCAAAAAAGUGAAAUACAGUGCCAAAAAAUGAAAUGCAGUGCCAAAAAGUGAAAUACAGUGCAAAAAAAUGAAAU
This is a non-coding RNA of Paramuricea clavata, 216 nucleotides long. The record is from the annotation of a GenBank genome assembly. Lineage: Eukaryota; Metazoa; Cnidaria; Anthozoa; Malacalcyonacea; Plexauridae.